This 580-nucleotide ribosomal RNA is filed under the name Botrytis sp. OTU013 AN-2016. RNAcentral describes it as "eukaryotic LSU rRNA". The stretch from base 217 to 370 matches the Rfam family "5.8S ribosomal RNA". Lineage: Eukaryota; Fungi; Ascomycota; Leotiomycetes; Helotiales; Sclerotiniaceae. The record is from RNAcentral.
UCUUGGUCCAUUAGAGGAAGUAAAAGUCGUAACAAGGUUUCCGUAGGUGAACCUGCGGAAGGAUCAUUACAGAGUUCAUGCCCGAAAGGGUAGACCUCCCACCCUUGUGUAUUAUUACUUUGUUGCUUUGGCGAGCUGCCUUCGGGCCUUGUAUGCUCGCCAGAGAAUACCAAAACUCUUUUUAUUAAUGUCGUCUGAGUACUAUAUAAUAGUUAAAACUUUCAACAACGGAUCUCUUGGUUCUGGCAUCGAUGAAGAACGCAGCGAAAUGCGAUAAGUAAUGUGAAUUGCAGAAUUCAGUGAAUCAUCGAAUCUUUGAACGCACAUUGCGCCCCUUGGUAUUCCGGGGGGCAUGCCUGUUCGAGCGUCAUUUCAACCCUCAAGCUUAGCUUGGUAUUGAGUCUAUGUCAGUAAUGGCAGGCUCUAAAAUCAGUGGCGGCGCCGCUGGGUCCUGAACGUAGUAAUAUCUCUCGUUACAGGUUCUCGGUGUGCUUCUGCCAAAACCCAAAUUUUUCUAUGGUUGACCUCGGAUCAGGUAGGGAUACCCGCUGAACUUAAGCAUAUCAUAGCCCGGAGGAAA